This 553-nucleotide long non-coding RNA is filed under the name Marmota monax (woodchuck). Lineage: Eukaryota; Metazoa; Chordata; Mammalia; Rodentia; Sciuridae. The record is from RNAcentral.
CAAACUGCAAAGAGUAAAUAAAUAAACUGGGCAUGGUGGUACACAUCUGUAAUCCCAGUGACUUGGGAGGCUAAGCCAGGAGGAUCUCAAGUUUGAGACCAGCCUCAGCAACUUAGAUCCUGUUUCAAAAUAAUAAAUUAAAAGGGAUGGGAAUGUAGCUCAGUGGUAAAGUGCCCCUUGGUUCAAAAAAAGAAUAAACAAAAACCUCAUUACAACCUUGUGAGGUAGGUAACAUUAUUCCUCCACUUUAGGGAUAAAAUCAUGUUGCAAGCAGCAACAUCAUGUGACAACCAAAUCAUUUCUUUCAACUACAUAUCCCAUGUUCAAGCAUGGCACCAAAAAUAAACUAUUGUGACAAUAUAAAUUCCUCUGAAAGAAAUGAAACAGAGAGGGCAUGGGGGUAGAAAUGAUGGUGGAAUGUGAUGAUCAUUAUUAUCCAAAGUACAGGCAUGAAGACACGAAUUGGUGUGAAUAUACUUUGUAUACAACCAGAGAUAUAAAAAAAAAAAUUGUGCUCUAUAUGUGUAAUAAGAAUUGUAAUGCAUUCCACUGU